GCUUCUCUAGCUUGAAGGGGCGAGGUGGUGAUUAAGUGCUUGUCCAGAACUGAAAAUGGCCCAGCUAUUUCGGCUGCUGUGUCUGUCUGGAGUGGACAACCGAGUGGGCAAAGAAGCAGAAGGGGAAAGGAAAGGACAGCGGGGCCCGUGGGGCCACCCUCAGUGCACCGGGAUCUUGGGCGAGAGAACUAGCUCCUCAGGGCAAAAUGUUGCCGGCUCCUCCAAGCAGCAAGAGCAUGCCAACUCACAGAAGCACAGCAUCUCCCCCAGGACUCCUCUGCUUGGAUCCACGGACCAGCAACUUAGUAAGAUCGCAAGGCAGCUUGCUAGAAGUGCAGAGUCUCAGCCCAGUGGCUUCUAAGCUACCUCUGAGGGCUACGUCUUUGGCACUGUAAAUCCUCAUGUUUUCCAGAAGCAGCAUUUCACCUGGGCUGCCCUCUCCUGGCAGAGUCAGCAGUGCAUAAGACUGCUGGCCAAGUGGGGUCAACAGAGCAGCAGAGAAGGGAAAGCGGGGUAUGUGGACACCCCACACUCGAGAUAAUUGGACUGGAACAGCUGACUGCAUGACCAGGACUGGAUCAUUUGGCGAAGAACAGAACAAGAGCACAAGUAAUUGAAAUCUACUACAUCCCCUGAACUUCAUUUCAGCCAAUACGUUCAACCUCUUCCUGUAAUAAAUCUUCUACCAGGCCUGCUAGCCAGAGGUAAAAUGAAUGGAAUUAAGUUUCAGCUCCUAUCUCUGCUUCCUCGCCAAGUGGACAUACUAACAAGGGGUGGCGUAUCUCAAAACCAGGCAGCAGAAGAAGGAAAAGGGUGAAAAGAAAGAGAAUGAGAGGUACUGUGCAAUCCAAAAGCCUCACUGCCACGCCUUAGCCUCUGAAAACAGAAGGGCUCAGCAGUUCGAAAGUACACACACCCUGAAUGUCAAACUUAGCUCAUGAAACUUGGAAAAAGAAGCUUAGUAGGGCAGCCUAGCUUUCACUCACUGCGUACAAUCAAACAGAGCGACUGUAAUAUUUCUUGAGCAAUUGUGGGAAAUCUCAUGUACCUUUCAGCCCCACUUUACCACCCCUGUAACAGGGCUGUGGUUCUUGAUGAAAGAUUUGUCAUCUUCCCAUAUGACUUUGAUCGUGUCAUUUGGCAGCACUGCAGGAGGACACGGAUGUGGGUGAGCUCUGAAACUAUCCAUGAAGAGAUGAAUAAAAAGUCAACAGUAUUAUCCACAUCAUUAGUUCACGUAAUAAAAAGUGAUUAAAUACAGCUAGCUUUCAAAUGCAUGUGAAAUAGAUCUGGCUGACGUAUAAAUUUUCAUAACGCUUGUGUUUUGCUUGGGUUGAAUUACCUUAAAUAACAGAAAAUCAUCAUCCUACUCACUGAUCACCGUCAACCCUGGAGUCAUUACUGGAUUACGACAGCUUUGUAAGAAGGGUUGGACGGUGCUGCACUUUGCAUUGCUAGUGUCAUUACUCUUCUGAUCAGUAAGCCCCAGUUUGUCUUCAGAAAGAAGAACCAUAACACAAACAUUUGGGUUGCUGAAGGAGAGAACGGGGUGUGUGAAAGCUGGAAAGAGGAACUUAUUGUGAAAUGCGGUUUCGUGAGAUCAAAAGACUUGGUGAGUCAGAUAUGGGUGUUUACUUUCUCUGUUUUUAGAAACUAUCAAAAAUUAUAGAAAUUCCAAACUCAUUUCUACCUUUCUGGCCUUUUCUGGGUGUAGGAAGGGGUAAGCCAGGAGACUAUGGGUUUGGAAAUUUCUGGAACACUCUCCAGAUGGCUGAGUCAUGGCUUCUUAUAAAAGCUUCUUGGAAUGCUACCAAGUCUCAGCUCCCCAAUCAACAGGAGCUCCUUUUAACAUCUGCAAAGCAUGUCCAACGAUAAACACUAUCAGUCACACCUCGUCAUUAAAAGACUGCGUUCAGAUUUCAGUUUUGUAAUUUAAUCUAUCAUGGUAAAUUUUGCCAUGGGAUUGUAUUAGACUCUCGCAGCUGACAUUUUUUGUCGUUAUUGCUGUUAGUCACUUAGCAUCGUCCAAAGCUACUUGCUCAUUUCUCUUUGAAAUCUUUUCCCUGAUUUCCAUUAAGGGAUCCCAUGUCCCUUCUAUUUCUCUGACCAACUCUUUUCUUUCUCUCUUUCAGCGGCUCACUGUCCUCAGUUUCACAGUUAAAUGUUGGUGUUCUGCAAAUUUAUUGUGUCAUUGACCAUGGAGCCCUAGCCUGCUCUUGUUUGCUUCGUGCUGUGUUCUCUCUCUCCAGGCAAUGUCAUGCACCCCAUGGCUUCAACUACCAACCACAUGUGAGCACUUCUGAAUUAUCACCUGCAGCCCCAAGCUGUCUGCUGGGAAGGAGGUUGUGUUACAGCUUUCUUCUUGAUACCUCUGUUUGGAUUCUAACAGUCACCAUUCUACUCACCUCCAGUGAUGGACUUCUUCUCUUCUCCCAUCCAAAGGUACCACCGCUCAUUCGGAUAACAACAGAAGGCAGAAAAUGAGACCUAUUCUGUGACACUUGCCUGUCCUUCGCCUUCCAUAUUAAACCCAUAUCCUAAGUUAGGUUGCUGAAAUCCUCAAAUCUUUCAACUAAGCUGUCACCAUCCCAUAUCGAGUUAGUAUCUCUCACCACUGCUGCUUUUGUUAGACCACUCUCUCAAUGAUUCUCCACACUACAGCCAGAGCGAUCAUUUAAAAAUAUAAAUUCAUGAUGACUAUCCUUGUCUACUAGCUUUGCAUUGCUCUUAAAAUAAGGAUCAAGCAUCCUGAACCCUGACUCCAAAGUACCUAUGAAUUCACCUCUGAUGACUUUACUGGGGUCACCUUACCCUUGUCUUACCUCUGCGCUCUGCCACACUGGCCUUCAUGUCAGUUCUUUAUAUUUUCUAGGCCUUUUUUCAAAUAGUUUUUCUUUUUGGAAUUCUGCUCUCUUCCUUGCUGCCUUUCUAUAAUGUUUUUCAAGAUUUCAUCAUCACUUGAUCUUCUCUUUUCACUCUCACAAUUUUCUAUACGCCUGUGGUUCCAAUCACUUCUGCCUCUUUCAGACCUUUAGAAGAAUACAUUGCCAAUAACAGAUUUUUUUUCUUUUUGUUUUUGUUUCAUUUUUUUUCAGUACCUGGAAUUGAACUCAUGACCUCGUGCUUGCCAGGCAGAUGCUGGGCCGCUGAGCUAAAUUCUCAGCCUAAUAACAGAUAUUUCUACUUCAGUGUUUACAAAUGUCUUAACUUUAGCAUGACCCAAACUCAUCUUUCCUUCCUCUAAAUCUGUCCCUCCUUGUGUCCACUAUAUCCUGGUAAUGUUCUAUGGAGUCUCGAAGUCACUCACUUUUAAAAUAACAACAUCAUUGAGAUAUUAAUUAUGUGAUAGUUAACUGAUGGUGUCAACUUGAGUAAGAAGCGCCCCGCUAAAUUGGAUCGGCACAGUUCUGGGUGUGGCUGGGGGGAUUCACUGAAGACGGAAGACCCGCCCUAGGGUGGCUCGGCGCCUGGGUGGUGUGAAGGGGAAACAGGAAGGCUCGCUCGGGUUCUGCCCGGGAGCUGCGGUCUUCACCUUUGCCGCGGACACUGUCUUCAGCUUUUCAGCACAGACCCUCUGGCCUUCCGCUAUGGACUUGCUCAGGACUCAGUGAGCCUUUGACUGGACCCUCUGGAUCAUGCAGACAGACCUUUUGCACUCUUCCACACCUCAUUUUGUGGGUGGCCAUUAUAAGCCAAUCUUGUAAAUCCUUAUAUAUUUGUAUAUUCUGGACUAAAUCUAUUUUUAUAGUAAGCACUGACUGAUACAAAUUAUAUGCCAUACAAUUUACCCUUUAAAGUACACAAUUGAUGAUCUUUGGUAUAUUCAAAGGGUUGUUUUAUCUAAUUUUACAUUUUAUCACCUCUAAGCCCAUUAGGAGCCACUUCCAUCCAUCCCUCCUCAAAACCCCUGGAAACCAUAAAUCUACUUUCUGCCUCUAUGCAUUUGCUUACUAUAGACACUACAAGAGAAUCAAAAAAGAAAUGCAAUUAUAUAAUAUGUCCCUUUUUGUGUCUAGUUCCUUCCAUGUGAUAUAUUUCAAGGUUCAUCCUCAUUGUACCAUGAAUUGGUACUUCAUUCAUUUUCAAAGAUGAUUAAUAUUGUAUUCCAUAGCUACACCACAUUUUCUUUAUCGUUCAUCUGUUGAUAAAUAUUUGUUUCCUCUUUGGGCUAGUUGCAAUUGAUGCUGCUAUGCAUAUUUCUAUAUAGGUGUUUGUGUAGAUGAUUUCAGUUUUUUGGUUUUAUAAACCCUAGGAAUAGAAUUGCUGGGUCUCACUGUAACACUAAGUUUGACCUCUUGAGAAACUGCCAAACAGACUUCCAUAGUGGAAGUAGAGCACAUUUUACAUUUCUACGCUACGGAUGCCUCGGUUUCAAUGCACCUUUGCCAGUUGAGCCCCUCACUUUCGCGGCGUAGUGCAGCAGAUGCGGAACAGAAGGUAGAGCUGGUUGGUUGCCUAUCUCAGUUAUCUGACCUCAGCAGCGGCUCCUGAGCCUUCGUCCUCCUGUCCAUACACAUUGUCCCUGUCUAUCUUAGACCAGAGCUUCAUCACGUUUCCUCCGGGAGACUGAAAGUCUUUCAAAAGUUUUCUUUCUCUUUCUGCUUGUCCUUCUUACCUCUGUCUAUACCAAAUUACUAAGAGCCAGAUGAAAGCUCUAAUUAUGCCACUUAAGGGGUUUAAAAAAAUCCUUUUAUGAGUUCUCAUCGAUAACUGCGUAAAGCUGAACUCCUUGGACAGGCACACAGGCCCUCUACGGUAUGUUAUUGUGAGUAUUUUGGUCAUAAUUCCAACUACUGUAGUAUAAGAGUUGACUGGUUUGUAACACCUUUCCUGAAUAACAACAAUCACAUUCCAAAGUAAAACCAUCUACACUUUACUGUUCCUUUCUUAGUAUUUUCAUAGACAUAUCUGGUUAUAUGUCAGAAUAUAAGUCUUAAAACAUUGUGCAAGUUGUUGAAAAAAGUAGGUGCUCAAUAAAUAUGUAAUGAAAGAAUGACAAAUGUGUGAAUAAAUAUUUGCUUUCA
Chinchilla lanigera (long-tailed chinchilla) is the source of this 5024-nucleotide long non-coding RNA. RefSeq lists it as uncharacterized. The record is from RefSeq and is a predicted model, not a curated record. Lineage: Eukaryota; Metazoa; Chordata; Mammalia; Rodentia; Chinchillidae. The transcript is spliced from 2 exons.